Nothoprocta perdicaria is the source of this 153-nucleotide long non-coding RNA. RefSeq lists it as uncharacterized. NCBI's taxonomy places the organism in Eukaryota, Metazoa, Chordata, Aves, Tinamiformes, Tinamidae. The record is from RefSeq and is a predicted model, not a curated record. The transcript has 2 exons.
ACAUGCACCAAGAUCGUCUGGGACUGAGGCACUCUUUGCUGAGACAUCUGCAACACAUGCAAGGUUAGAGGAAGAGAGGAAUGAAGGCCAUUAGUGGUGCAGAAGGACAUUGAAGAAUUCCUGCAGUUACAAAUUAUCUCCAAGAGACUGUUG